AUGCGUGUAUAUUUUGGCGUUGGUCUGGAUUCAGAACAGUUGCGCCCAGCUUCAUUCGGUUGGAGACAGUCGUGUGAAAUGAGAGUCCAGCUACUUGGAUUUUGGAUCUGGUGCCUUUCAGGCACCAACUUUCCAUCAAUCGCAGGAGAGAUUAAUUCCCACCUGCGAGGAGAACUGCGUAAGUAUGAGACUUAUAAUCCGUGCGAACGUUUCGGUACAAGACGAAAUCGUAUAGACUGUAUGAACUCCGUUAACAAGUUCAAGGAAAUCCCUGUAGAUGAUCGUGGUCCCUGUAAAACAAUUCAUGCUUAUCGCUGUCACGCUAAAUUCUUCGAGUUCGAGAACUGUCGAGUGUGGGUCACGGGACCGGGAAUACCAACGCAAGAAAGGAAAACAUUGAAUUGGUGUGUGAAAAGCGCUCUUAAUCCCGGAUGGGAGACCCAAAAAAAAAAGUCCUCAUGGAAAUUCUGGAAAAAAUCCAAUCCCAAGAAAAAAAGUAAACAGGGCUGAUUAUCAUCUGUCUCACGCACGAAUGAGAUUUAAACUAAAUACCCUCCCCCUCCCUUUUUGUAAAUGCGUGCGUGAUGUAGGUAUAUCAACUACAAUUGACUGUAUUAACCCAUUGACUGAAAGCGACGAGUGGGACUCGUUCGCGCUGCGCCGCGCCGGGCCGUAUCUGAAGCGACGACUCCCACUCGUCCUGAGACUUGUCAACACCAUUUGCGUUGUUUUGGGUGUCUCCCGAUAGACAGUGCCACUUGGCAACAUUAUUUGCGUUGUUUUGGGUGUCUCCCGAUAGGAGCGCCACAUAUUUUCCCGAUCUGGUCCAUUAUUUCCCCGAUUAUACGGUAAUUUUCUAGUUUAGAAAAUAACCCUCAUUUUUAUUUUGCUUGGAAUUUUCUAGUUUUUCUUUGACGUCACGCUUUCUAUUUUAUUUGUUUCGCACUGGUUGCAGUUUUAUUUUUUGCACUCUAUCUUAUAAUAUAAGUAAUCUGCGUUUCCUCUUGGGUUUGCAAACCCUUUUCUCUUGUUGCAUGCUGUUUUUUAACAAAAAUACAUGAUUUUCCCUAAUUUUCCAUUUUUUUCCAAUUUUUUCUCACACAUUUCAAGAACACAGAUGUAUAAAAAUGGAAGUCAUAUUCAUUAACAGGCAAUUUUUCUCCUUUUAU
Molecule: long non-coding RNA, 1169 nt
Filed under: Bemisia tabaci
Lineage: Eukaryota; Metazoa; Arthropoda; Insecta; Hemiptera; Aleyrodidae
Description: lncRNA ENSSSA2NGG000992
Source: RNAcentral